AGUAAAAAUAUAACAGAUUCGGACAAAAAUGUAGAGGAACAUGAUGAAAUGAGCGUUGAAGACGAGGAAUUGUCAACGAUCGAAGACGUAUUAUUAUCAGGUCUUCAUUUCGUAUGUGGUCCCUCAGGGUUACACCCAGUAUCGACCUCUCCAUCUUUCUUUGCGUUACGUUGAGCCUCCUGGUAAUGGCCACCGUUAAUGUUAAAGUUUCGGAACCGUAUAUCAUAACCAAAGGAGGAACCACGCAUUGAUUGACAGCCUUUCUUUUCAAAUAUACAGGAAUAUCGCCCAUGAAAAUGUCUCUAAGUUUCCUGUAGGCUGCCUUUGAUUAUUAUCUCUUGAUACACGAACCUCAUGGCCAAGAUAUAUGGCUGCGAUGCGAACCAACUGAGAUGAGUACUUUAAGAACAAUAGUGGAAAAGACAAGAAAAGAUAGAGUUAGGAACAAAAUUGUAAGAGAAUUUUGUGGAUUCGGAUAUGUCAUGAGAUUUGCUAGGGGAGAAAUAAAAAAAUUUUAUGAAUACUUCCAAAGAAUGGAAGAAACCUGGCUGAUUAAGACAAAAGAGACCAAAGAUUAGCUAGAAAGAGAUUCCGGGAGACCAGGAAGUUGGAUUUCCAGCUCUAAUGAAACACCAUGAAUGAUGCGUAAAAAACAGGUUACAACCUGAAUAAAA
This is a non-coding RNA of Onthophagus taurus, 674 nucleotides long. The record is from RefSeq and is a predicted model, not a curated record. Lineage: Eukaryota; Metazoa; Arthropoda; Insecta; Coleoptera; Scarabaeidae.